This 478-nucleotide ribosomal RNA is filed under the name uncultured bacterium. RNAcentral's name for it is "partial 16S ribosomal RNA". It matches the Rfam family "Bacterial small subunit ribosomal RNA", at positions 28 to 507 of the family's 1533-position model. The record is from RNAcentral.
GAUGAACGCUGGCGGCGUGCUUAACACAUGCAAGUCGAACGGGAAUUAUUUUAUUGCAACUUCGGUCGAUUUCAUUUAAUUCUAGUGGCGGACGGGUGAGUAACGCGUGGGUAACCUGCCUUAUACAGGGGGAUAACAGUCAGAAAUGGCUGCUAAUACCGCAUAAGCGCACAGAGCUGCAUGGCUCAGUGUGAAAAACUCCGGUGGUAUAAGAUGGACCCGCGUUGGAUUAGCUUGUUGGCAGGGUAACGGCCUACCAAGGCGACGAUCCAUAGCCGGCCUGAGAGGGUGAACGGCCACAUUGGGACUGAGACACGGCCCAGACUCCUACGGGAGGCAGCAGUGGGGAAUAUUGCACAAUGGGGGAAACCCUGAUGCAGCGACGCCGCGUGAAGGAAGAAGUAUCUCGGUAUGUAAACUUCUAUCAGCAGGGAAGAUAGUGACGGUACCUGACUAAGAAGCCCCGGCUAACUACGUG